RNAcentral lists this ribosomal RNA (437 nucleotides) under uncultured Oscillospiraceae bacterium. RNAcentral describes it as "bacterial SSU rRNA". It matches the Rfam family "Bacterial small subunit ribosomal RNA", at positions 341 to 792 of the family's 1533-position model. Lineage: Bacteria; Bacillati; Bacillota; Clostridia; Eubacteriales; Oscillospiraceae. The record is from RNAcentral.
ACGGGAGGCAGCAGUGGGGAAUAUUGGGCAAUGCGCGAAAGCCUGACCCAGCAACGCCGCGUGAAGGAAGAAGGCCUUCGGGUUGUAAACUUCUUUUAUCAGGGACGAAGGACGUGACGGUACCUGAUGAAUAAGCCACGGCUAACUACGUGCCAGCAGCCGCGGUAAUACGUAGGUGGCGAGCGUUAUCCGGAUUUACUGGGUGUAAAGGGCGCGUAGGCGGGGAUGCAAGUCAGAUGUGAAAUCUAUGGGCUUAACCCAUAAACUGCAUUUGUAACUGUAUCUCUUGAGUGUCGGAGAGGUAGAUGGAAUUCCUAGUGUAGCGGUGAAAUGCGUAGAUAUUAGGAGGAACACCAGUGGCGAAGGCGAUCUACUGGACGAUAACUGACGCUGAGGCUCGAAAGUGCGGGUAGCAAACAGGAUUAGAUACCCUGGUA